Molecule: ribosomal RNA, 453 nt
Filed under: uncultured Bacteroidota bacterium
Lineage: Bacteria; Pseudomonadati; Bacteroidota
Description: bacterial SSU rRNA
Rfam family: Bacterial small subunit ribosomal RNA
Source: RNAcentral
GGGAGGGUGGGUAGUCCAUACGAGCGCACCCUAUUUUUAGUUACCAGCGAGUCAUGUCGGGAACUCUAGAAAAACUGCCUGGGCAACCAGAGAGGAAGGUGGGGAUGACGUCAAAUCAUCACGGCCCUUAUGUCUUGGGCUACACACGUGCUACAAUGGUUACUACAAUGUGAUGCCAUCUGGUGACAGAGAGCUAAUCAAUAAAGGUAAUCUCAGUUCGGAUCGGAGUCUGCAACUCGACUCUGUGAAGUUGGAUUCGCUAGUAAUCGUAUAUCAGCAAUGAUACGGUGAGUACGUUCCCGGGCCUUGUACACACCGCCCGUCAAGCCAUGGAAGUUUGGGGUGCCUGAAGUCAGUAACCGUAAGGAACUGCCUAGGGUAAAACAGAUAACUAGGGCUAAGUCGUAACAAGGUAGCCGUACCGGAAGGUGUGGCUGGAAUAUCUCUUUUUUU